This 406-nucleotide ribosomal RNA is filed under the name alpha proteobacterium '13.5 MW-10'. Its description in RNAcentral is "bacterial SSU rRNA". It matches the Rfam family "Bacterial small subunit ribosomal RNA", at positions 37 to 488 of the family's 1533-position model. The record is from RNAcentral. Lineage: Bacteria; Pseudomonadati; Pseudomonadota; Alphaproteobacteria.
UGGCGGCAUGCCUAACACAUGCAAGUCGAACGAUGCUUUCGGGCAUAGUGGCGCACGGGUGCGUAACGCGUGGGAAUCUGCCCUUAGGUUCGGAAUAACAGUUAGAAAUGACUGCUAAUACCGGAUGAUGUCGAUAAGACCAAAGAUUUAUCGCCUGAGGAUGAGCCCGCGUAGGAUUAGCUAGUUGGUGUGGUAAAGGCGCACCAAGGCGACGAUCCUUAGCUGGUCUGAGAGGAUGAUCAGCCACACUGGGACUGAGACACGGCCCAGACUCCUACGGGAGGCAGCAGUGGGGAAUAUUGGACAAUGGGCGCAAGCCUGAUCCAGCAAUGCCGCGUGAGUGAUGAAGGCCUUAGGGUUGUAAAGCUCUUUUACCCGGGAUGAUAAUGACAGUACCGGGAGAAUA